AGAGCACAAGGGGCUGUGUGGGGGAAGGGGGAUUGGUCCUGGCCACAAUAAAGAAUGAAAUUUGGUCACAAGAAAAAAUGCCUGGAAGGAACUCCAGAGAAAUCCACUGACCCUUUAUGUGCUGAUGCUGGCCUUCUUCCACAUGAAGUGGUGACUUUGCCUUCCU
Molecule: long non-coding RNA, 166 nt
Organism: Poecile atricapillus (Black-capped chickadee)
Lineage: Eukaryota; Metazoa; Chordata; Aves; Passeriformes; Paridae
Exons: 3
Source: RefSeq, a predicted model, not a curated record